CAGUCGCCACGGGAAUACGAAGGGUGCAAGCGUUACUCGGAAUUACUGGGCGUAAAGCGUGCGUAGGUGGUUGUUUAAGUCUGCUGUGAAAGCCCUGGGCUCAACCUGGGAAUUGCAGUGGAUACUGGGCAACUAGAGUAAGGUAGAGGAUAGUGGAAUUUCCGGUGUAGCAGUGAAAUGCGUAGAGAUCGGAAGGAACAUCUGUGGCGAAGGCGACUAUCUGGGCCAUUACUGACACUGAGGCACGAAAGCGUGGGGAGCAAACAGGAUUAGAUACCCCUGUAGUCCCUGUCUCUUAUAC
Molecule: ribosomal RNA, 301 nt
Filed under: uncultured bacterium
Lineage: Bacteria
Description: partial 16S ribosomal RNA
Rfam family: Bacterial small subunit ribosomal RNA
Source: RNAcentral